This 527-nucleotide ribosomal RNA is filed under the name Oceanidesulfovibrio marinus. Its description in RNAcentral is "bacterial SSU rRNA". It matches the Rfam family "Bacterial small subunit ribosomal RNA", at positions 863 to 1387 of the family's 1533-position model. Lineage: Bacteria; Pseudomonadati; Thermodesulfobacteriota; Desulfovibrionia; Desulfovibrionales; Desulfovibrionaceae. The record is from RNAcentral.
AACGUCCCGCCUGGGUAGUAAGGUCGCAAGGCUGAAACUCAAAGACACUGACGGGGGCCCGCACAACCGGUGGAGUAUGUGGUUUAAUUCGAUGCAACGCGUAGAACCUUACCUGGGCUUGACAUCACGCGAACCCUCCCGAAACGGAGGGGUGCCCUUCGGGGAGCGCGGUGACAGGUGAUGCCUGGAUGUCGUCAGCGCGUGCCGUGAGGUCUUGGGUGAAGUAACGCAACGAGCGCUACCCCUAUUAUUAGUUGCCAGCGCUUGAAUUCGGGCAAUCGAAGGCGGAUGCCUCGGUCAAAGGGGAGGAAGGUGGGGAUGAAGUCAAGUAAUCCUGGCCACUACGCACAGGGCUACAAACGUACUACAAUGGAGGAGAAACAGGGGUGCGAAAACGAGAGGUCACGCAAAUCCCAAAAAAUCCGUACCAGUCAGGAUUGCAGUCUGCAACUCGAGUGUAGGAAUUAGGAAUCGCGAGUAAUCCCGGAUCAGCAUGCCGGGGUGAAUACGGUCCCGGGCCUUGGACA